Molecule: long non-coding RNA, 342 nt
Organism: Orcinus orca (killer whale)
Lineage: Eukaryota; Metazoa; Chordata; Mammalia; Artiodactyla; Delphinidae
Exons: 2
Source: RefSeq, a predicted model, not a curated record
GCCCAUAAUUUCUCUCUUAGUCACAUCUCUGGGCUUUGACCACAUCCUGUUUUUGCUCUACCCCAGUCAGUGAAAAUGAUCAGUGCUCUGAUGUGUCUUUCACAGAUCCUAAAGCUGGUAUCUGAAUGUGUCUGUGUUCCUAUUAGCAUCACGUGAGGAGGUUGGGAGACUGGCCCACCCCUGCCCACCAGGACCCCCUCUCCACAUGACCUGUGUUCUCUUCCCUAGUCAGCUUUCCUGUUCCAUCAGAGGCAGCGCUGGGCCAUCUCCAUCCCUGACUUGACCCCACGUUGUACUAAUAAUGUUUUACUUCCUUAUGGAAAAUAAAAAACCGGAUAUGAA